Molecule: ribosomal RNA, 137 nt
Filed under: uncultured bacterium
Lineage: Bacteria
Description: partial 16S ribosomal RNA
Rfam family: Bacterial small subunit ribosomal RNA
Source: RNAcentral
UGGGGAAUAUUGCACAAUGGGGGAAACCCUGAUGCAGCGACGCCGCGUGAGCGAAGGAGUACUUCGGUACGUAAAGCCCUAUCAGCAGGAAAGAAAAUGACGGUACCUGACUAAGAAGCCCCGGCUAACUACGUGCC